CCUAGCGGUUAGAAUCGUAAGAAAACCUUGCGAUUGAGAUACAGGUAAAAGAAAAGUGGACUAACGGAGGCUGGAGGACAAUGCUAUGGAGGUGUGUGUGUGCAAGGGGUUUGGAAUAAAGAUCCUAGGGGUCGAAACAGCUUAAUUCCAGUAUUUACGUUGUUAGUUUGUUUAUGGUUUAAUCCUUAGCUGGUUAAAUGUUUUAAUCCAGUAAAACUAUGCACUAUUCAGUUUGUUCAGUUUAGGACGCAUGUAGGUUAAUGUUAGAUUGUUUUUCAUGUAUCUAGAACCUAUGUCUGUGAGUUGUGGUA
Molecule: long non-coding RNA, 311 nt
Organism: Zingiber officinale
Lineage: Eukaryota; Viridiplantae; Streptophyta; Magnoliopsida; Zingiberales; Zingiberaceae
Exons: 2
Source: RefSeq, a predicted model, not a curated record